This 506-nucleotide ribosomal RNA is filed under the name uncultured bacterium. RNAcentral's name for it is "partial 16S ribosomal RNA". It matches the Rfam family "Bacterial small subunit ribosomal RNA", at positions 29 to 523 of the family's 1533-position model. The record is from RNAcentral.
AAUGAACGCUGGCGGUAGGCCUAACACACGCAAGUCGAACGGCAGCACAGGAGAGCUUGCUCUCUGGGUGGCGAGUGGCGGACGGGUGAGGAACACAUCGGAAUCUACUUUUUCGUGGGGGAUAACGUAGGGAAACUUACGCUAAUACCGCAUACGACCUACGGGUGAAAGCAGGGGACCUUCGGGCCUUGCGCGAUUGAAUGAGCCGAUGUCGGAUUAGCUAGUUGGCGGGGUAAAGGCCCACCAAGGCGACGAUCCGUAGCUGGUCUGAGAGGAUGAUCAGCCACACUGGAACUGAGACACGGUCCAGACUCCUACGGGAGGCAGCAGUGGGGAAUAUUGGACAAUGGGCGCAAGCCUGAUCCAGCCAUACCGCGUGGGUGAAGAAGGCCUUCGGGUUGUAAAGCCCUUUUGUUGGGAAAGAAAUCCAGCUGGCUAAUACCCGGUUGGGAUGACGGUACCCAAAGAAUAAGCACCGGCUAACUUCGUGCCAGCCGCCGCAGUAA